CAGACCGAUUCCCAGGGUCAGGCUAUAAAUUCUUUAACUAAAUCCACUGACAAAUCACCCAGAAAAGCUUUUAAUAUGUUUGCAGGCUUAGCCACAGGAGCAAAGCAAAUUGUUCUUGAGAUCUUCAAAGCAGGCGUGCAGGUUUCACCAGUUCUUCCUCUUGCCCUGGGCAGGUCUGCAAGUCUGCUGGAACCUGGAACACAGCAGCCCUCCUGCCCAGCCACCCCAUUCCUGAGCUUCCUCUCCAUGCAAGAGUCCACUUGUAAAACAAACAACGGGCUGGGAGUUGUGUCUCCCCUUCACCACCAAUGGGAAUGACUGCAAAAUGCAUAGAAGGACACAGCCAUGCCCUUUCCACGGAAGUCACAGAGCACACCUCAACACACUGAGAAGACGUCCACGACAGAGAAAGAUGACGAAGGUCUCCUUUCUUCCACAUCGUAGGAGAUUUUCUGCCAUAAACUCAGUUUAUUCUAUAGUUGUUUAUGUCCUCAGCAUUUUGGAGACAGCUGUUCUCAUGAAGUGAAGACUGGCUCAGAUUGUUUGAUUAAUUGCAAGAAUUGUGGAAACGGGAGGAAGAAUUCAUGAAGGAUGCCUCCCUUACCUGUACAGAGUUGUUUUCAUUGAUAAAGGGUUGUGAUCUGUAAAAUGGGGAUAUCGACAUUUGUUUCAGGAGAAUGAGCUUUAUUUGGGCAGAUUUGGCUUUGAAUUCUGUUUCUACCUCUUAGAGAUUGUGUGACAGUUGUUAUUUAAUAUCUGAGUCUCAAAUUUCUCAUCUGUAAACUGAAUAUAACACUUAUACUGAAUGUCAUACUUAUAUUACAAGAUGUCCAUGUUAUUCUAAUCAUGUCUUUUUAGUUUCUGUGUUUUCUGAUGUUUUGGCUUCUGGGGUCUUGCUGAUCCUGGAGAGACUCCCCCUCCCAGGACUGGUCAGUUCCUAGCAGUAGUAAGGGACUCACCUACAAGUGUGCCUUUUGUAUGCAAGCCACCAAUCCAAAGCCCAUGCCCCCACUGACCCCCUUUAUCUAGCUUUCACUUGCAGAGCCACUAUCCCCCUGCCCUAAUCACCCCAGGGACAGAUAUUAAACAACUAGAAAUAGCCACGAUGCCCUAGAGCCCAGUGAAAUUAUUUAAAAUGGGCAAUACUACACCUGCCUGCCUGUCCUACAUUUCCCCCUCACAACCCAUAAUGAAGUCUCUUGCCCACAUUUUCUUCUCAUUCCCUCUGCCUCCUGACCGAUCCUGGUGCUUCCCCACGUGGCCCUGCAUGGCAUGGUGUGACCUCUGCUCUUGAAUUGUGAGUAACACACGCUGUACGUAAUGGCAGUCAUCUCCUGACCCAUUUCCUCACCAUACCUGAAUAAUAAUAAAACCUAUUGUCUCAGCCUAUUUGGGCUGCUAUAACAAAACACUAUAGACUGAGUGGCUUCAACAGUAAAUAUUUAUUUCUCACACUUCUGGAGGUGGGGGAGUUCAAGGUCAAGGCACUGAAAGGCUCAGUGUCUGAUGAGAACCCGCUUCCUGGCUCAUGGACAUCCAGCUUUUCUCUGUGGCUGAAAGAAGCCGAAGCACUCUCUGGGGUCUCUUUUAUAAUGGCACUAAUCCAUUCACAGGUCCUCCACCCUCGUGACAUAGGUGGAGCCCCCAUGAAUAGCCUCACCUCCAAAAGUCAUCACAUUGAGGGUUAGGAUUGUGAUACAUGCACUUGGAGGAGGCACACACAUUCAGUCCACAACACUCAUGAUGUAAAAACACAUGCCCCAAUCUCUGGAACCUGUGAAUGUUACCUUGUAUGGCAAAAGGGACUUCACGGGUGUGAAAAAGACAUGAAUCUGUAGAUGGGAGAUUAUCUUGGGCUAGCCAGGCGGGCCUGGUGUGAUCAUGAGGAUCCUUAGAAGGGGGAGGCAGGAGAUCAGCAUGAGUAGCAGAGGAGGGUGAGGCCACGAGCCAAGGAAUGCUGACAGCUUCUAGAAGCUGGAAGAGGCGAGGAAUGAAUUCUCCCCUGGAACUUUCAGAAGGAAUCAACACUGCCAACACCCUAAUGGUAGCCCUGUAAGGCCUAUUUCUGAC
Molecule: long non-coding RNA, 2070 nt
Filed under: Homo sapiens (human)
Lineage: Eukaryota; Metazoa; Chordata; Mammalia; Primates; Hominidae
Description: HSALNT0081858
Source: RNAcentral